RNAcentral lists this ribosomal RNA (468 nucleotides) under uncultured bacterium. RNAcentral describes it as "partial 16S ribosomal RNA". It matches the Rfam family "Bacterial small subunit ribosomal RNA", at positions 28 to 507 of the family's 1533-position model. The record is from RNAcentral.
GACGAACGCUGGCGGCGUGCUUAACACAUGCAAGUCGAACGGAAAGGCCCUGCUUUUGUGGGGUGCUCGAGUGGCGAACGGGUGAGUAACACGUGAGUAACCUGCCCUUGACUUUGGGAUAACUUCAGGAAACUGGGGCUAAUACCGGAUAGGAGCUCCUGCUGCAUGGUGGGGGUUGGAAAGUUUCGGCGGUUGGGGAUGGACUCGCGGCUUAUCAGCUUGUUGGUGGGGUAGUGGCUUACCAAGGCUUUGACGGGUAGCCGGCCUGAGAGGGUGACCGGCCACAAUGGGAAUGAGGUACGGCCCAGACUCCUACGGGAGGGAGCAGGGGGGAAUAUUGGACAAUGGGCCGAAGCCUGAUGCAGCAACGCCGCGUGCGGGAUGACGGCCUUCGGGUUGUAAACCGCUUUCGCCUGUGACGAAGCGUGAGUGACGGUAAUGGGUAAAGAAGCACCGGCUAACUACGUG